Molecule: long non-coding RNA, 2225 nt
Organism: Acipenser ruthenus (sterlet)
Lineage: Eukaryota; Metazoa; Chordata; Actinopteri; Acipenseriformes; Acipenseridae
Exons: 4
Source: RefSeq, a predicted model, not a curated record
UCGUACUGGAUGGUCUGGCAGUUUCACACGUAAAAAGAGAAUUUGAUUUAUAUUUUCCCAGGACAUUUGGCAACUUUAACUUAAAAUAAACAUGACAAGAAAGAUAUGAACUGAACAAGACUGACAUCAUCUUGACUAAAGAUAUUGUUGGAACAUUGAAGCAGGGCAGCAACGUGGUUCUCCAAAAGAGAAAAGAGAAGGAAACUUUUCCAGUGAAAAUUAUGAAGCUUGGUGACGCCGAUAAACUCGCUAAAUCAAAAGCAGAGGUGGAGAGACAGCAGAUCAAAAGUGACGUUCAGUAGAAAAGAAAAAUGAAGGCAAAUGUCAUCGCACAGCUCCCUUCGUCGCAAUCGCCCGACUCAGCUGAUCACAGUAGAGCCGUUUAGCAGUCCUUCUACCUCGGAACAUCUAUUGUUAAUGGGCACAAUAAACAUAUAGGGGAGGUACUUUGAUGGGCUUUUCCUAUUUUCAAGAAUUAUUCCCCAGGACAAAACUACUGCAGUUAAAUAGGGGACACUUACUCCUACCAACAUGAGGUGCAAUUGUUUUGGGGAUCUGUAACAGGGUCCUGUGUUAAAUGUGUGGGUAGUCACUGGAAAAUACUGACACAGACACAGAGCAUUGGUGUUGAUACGCCGCACAGGCACGCAGGUUUAAUUUUCAACACAGGUGCUGACACUAGGGUACCAGCAAUGGUAGCCUUAGUGUCACAAUUAAUAAAGAAACGAAAACAAAACAAGCUAAAAAUAAAAGUUUGCCACUCAAAACGGCAAGCACUAGUCCCACUAACAGGAAUGUCCUGCUCCAGGAACCUGCUACUCUACGCAACCCUCUCUAUACUGUGUUGGGAUCAACAUCCCCUAAACUGACCUACUUCUGUUCUUUUGCUUCCGAAUUUCCAGCCUCCCAGCGACUCUAGUCUGUUCCAACGGUUCUGGCUGGGCAAGCGCCUUCACAGGUACAGUUGAAGGGUUCCGUAAUAAUAGUUCAAAACAAGCCCAACCCAUUUCACAAGGUGUAUAUGCACGUCAUUUUUUCUAAUGACAUGCAUAUACAUUGACACCAGUCAAUCACCAAAACCACUCCUACAACCAUUUUUAACUGUUGAAGUCACGUCACCUAUUACAAAAAAACCUGUGACUCUCAAAAAAUGAAAGUGACUCUCAAUUCCCAAGCCCAAUUCCGCUUAUUAUAAACAGACUUGGUUACUGUGGCCCCAAACUGUGGCUCAACCGCUUUUUGAGCUCCGUACAACAUUUCAGGGCACGUCCCCCAGCCAAUCCGAUCAUCCUGAUCCUAUCAAAAUAAGGUGUUAUUGUUUUAGGGACUUGAUGGACACACUUAAAAUAUAAGGGAGGUACUUUGAUUGGCAUUUUCCUUUUUCAAUUUAAUAGGGGACUAUGACAGAGAAAGAAUGAAUCUUGGUUAUAAAUCUCCCUCCUGACCUGUGAGAGCACUGUAUAAAUGGAACAGUGUCCCCGGGACUGGUUGGUUUGGCAAUUCAUUCCAGGGAAAGGUGGAAGUCGGCCAUCUAGAUAGGGGGCGGAGCCACAGUAAACCAAGUCAUCACCCCAGACAGGAAGCGAUGUGGAAAUCGCGGAUUGGAGGAAAAGCGAUUGCACUUGCUAACCAAGGGGGCGUGGCUGAAGGUACAAAAGUGGAUGUGGCCGAGCGAACUGCUCCUUUGUUAUGGUUGUGAGAGAACCGCUGAAGGACCGGAAAGUUACCGUGAGUGUUUCAUGUUUGUUUGUUUGCCCUGCUAUGUACAGACAGGGAUUGCAGUAAUUACACACCGGCCAUGAAUUUUGUAGAUGUUAAAGGUUUGCUGACAUAAGGGGGUUUAACAGUAGAACACAGGAGAAAAUCUGUCCCUGGAGAUGUCCGGGAGAAGGGUCCAAAAUACGGGACACUCCCGGUGAAAACAGGAGAGGUGACAGGUCUGUUAUUAGAUGGCUAACACAUUCUGGGAGCUGUCGCUAAAGGCUACUAACCCGGACAGUGCUGCACUAUUGUACACGAAUAAAUUGUAUUUAACCACUUGCACCAAAGCACUCACUCUGGACUUUUGACCGUGUUUGUGUUCUGUGUGUGUUUAUACCGUGUUUAUUAUUUCGGGACUGUACCCCCGUGGUUUGUGCAGUACACAUUGCUGUGUAUUGCCAGGAAUUAUUAUUUACGGUCGCCUAAAUGACCUGGAUUAAAAACAAAUAAAUAAAUUGUUUGGA